This 548-nucleotide ribosomal RNA is filed under the name Belonesox belizanus (pike killifish). Its description in RNAcentral is "partial 16S large subunit ribosomal RNA". It matches the Rfam family "Bacterial large subunit ribosomal RNA", at positions 1847 to 2597 of the family's 2925-position model. Lineage: Eukaryota; Metazoa; Chordata; Actinopteri; Cyprinodontiformes; Poeciliidae. The record is from RNAcentral.
AAGAGGUCCUGCCUGCCCUGUGAAUUAUUUUUAACGGCCGCGGUAUCUUGACCGUGCAAAGGUAGCGUAAUCACUUGUCUUUUAAAUGAAGACCCGUAUGAACGGCAAAACGAGGGCUUAACUGUCUCCUUCCUUUAGUCAAUGAAAUUGAUCCCCUCGUGCAGAAGCGAGGAUAAAAACAUAAGACGAGAAGACCCUAUGGAGCUUUAGACAAAACAGCAGAUCAUGUAAAGACUCUUUAUACAAGAGUAAAACCAAACGACCCCUGCUACAAUGUCUUUGGUUGGGGCGACCCCGGAGAAAUAAAAAACCCCCGAGCGGAGUGAAGAUACCCUCUCCAUAAACAAGAGCCGCAGCUCAAAAAACCAGAACUUCUGACCAAAAGAUCCGACACAAUCGAUCAACGGACCAAGUUACCCUAGGGAUAACAGCGCAAUCCCCUUCCAGAGCCCCUAUCGACAAGGGGGUUUACGACCUCGAUGUUGGAUCAGGACAUCCUAAUGGUGCAGCCGCUAUUAAGGGUUCGUUUGUUCAACGAUUAAAGUCCU